CGUUCUAUUGCCGAAUUGGUAAAGGCAUCGCCGAUCACAGGCGAGGGUUCGAGUCCCGCUGGAACGA
RNAcentral lists this transfer RNA (67 nucleotides) under Operophtera brumata (winter moth). It matches the Rfam family "tRNA". From Rfam's summary of the family: Transfer RNA (tRNA) molecules are approximately 80 nucleotides in length. Their secondary structure includes four short double-helical elements and three loops (D, anti-codon, and T loops). The record is from Rfam by way of RNAcentral. Lineage: Eukaryota; Metazoa; Arthropoda; Insecta; Lepidoptera; Geometridae.